UGGGGAAUAUUGCACAAUGGGCGAAAGCCUGAUGCAGCGACGCCGCGUGCGGGAAGAAGGCCUUCGGGUUGUAAACCGCUUUCAAUUGGGAAGAAGGGAUGAGGGUUAAUACCCCUCUGACUUGACGGUACCUUUAGAAGAAGCACCGGCUAAUUUCGUGCCAGCAGCCGCGGUAAUACGAAAGGUGCAAGCGUUGUUCGGAUUUACUGGGCGUAAAGAGAUCGUAGGUGGUUUGUUAAGUCGGAUGUGAAAUCCCGGGGCUCAACCCCGGAACUGCAUUCGAUACUGGCAGGCUAGAGUUUGGGAGGGGUAAGCGGAAUUCCGUGUGUAGCAGUGAAAUGCGUAGAUAUACGGAGGAACACCUGAGGCGAAGGCGGCUUACUGGACCAAUACUGACACUGAGGAUCGAAAGCGUGGGUAGCAAACA
This 427-nucleotide ribosomal RNA is filed under the name uncultured Zetaproteobacteria bacterium. Its description in RNAcentral is "bacterial SSU rRNA". It matches the Rfam family "Bacterial small subunit ribosomal RNA", at positions 355 to 774 of the family's 1533-position model. Lineage: Bacteria; Pseudomonadati; Pseudomonadota; Candidatius Mariprofundia. The record is from RNAcentral.